AUGGCUCAGGAUGAACGCUGGCGGCGUGCCUAACACAUGCAAGUCGAGCGGAGUCAUAUGUUGAUUCUUCGGAUGAUUUAUAUGACUUAGCGGCGGAUGGGUGAGUAACACGUGGGUAAUCUGCCCUGCACUGGGGGAUAACAGUUGGAAACGACUGUUAAUACCGCAUAUGCACACGGGGCCGCAUGGUCCUGGGUGGAAAGAUUCAUCGGUGCAGGAUGAGCCCGCGUCGGAUUAACUAGUUGGCAGGGUAACGGCCUACCAAGGUGAUGAUCCGUAGCCGGCCUGAGAGGGCGACCGGCCACAUUGGGACUGAGACACGGCCCAAACUCCUACGGGAGGCAGCAGUGGGGAAUAUUGCACAAUGGGCGCAAGCCUGAUGCAGCGACGCCGCGUGAAGGAAGAAGUAUUUCGGUAUGUAAACUUCUAUCAGCGGGGAAGAAGAUGACGGUACCCGACUAAGAAGCCCCGGCUAACUACGUGCCAGCAGCAGC
RNAcentral lists this ribosomal RNA (494 nucleotides) under uncultured bacterium. Its description in RNAcentral is "bacterial SSU rRNA". It matches the Rfam family "Bacterial small subunit ribosomal RNA", at positions 19 to 518 of the family's 1533-position model. The record is from RNAcentral.